This 481-nucleotide ribosomal RNA is filed under the name uncultured bacterium. RNAcentral's name for it is "partial 16S ribosomal RNA". It matches the Rfam family "Bacterial small subunit ribosomal RNA", at positions 28 to 507 of the family's 1533-position model. The record is from RNAcentral.
GAUGAACGCUGGCGGCGUGCUUAACACAUGCAAGUCGAACGAAGCAUUUGCGACAGAUUUUUUCGGAAUGAAGUUGCUUAUGACUGAGUGGCGGACGGGUGAGUAACGCGUGGGUAACCUGCCUUGUACUGGGGGAUAGCAGCUGGAAACGGCUGGUAAUACCGCAUAAGCGCACAAUGUUGCAUGACAUGGUGUGAAAAACUCCGGUGGUAUAAGAUGGACCCGCGUCUGAUUAGCUAGUUGGUGAGAUAACAGCCCACCAAGGCGACGAUCAGUAGCCGACCUGAGAGGUUGACCGGCCACAUUGGGACUGAGACACGGCCCAGACUCCUACGGGAGGCAGCAGUGGGGAAUAUUGCACAAUGGAGGAAACUCUGAUGCAGCGACGCCGCGUGAGUGAAGAAGUAAUUCGUUAUGUAAAGCUCCAUCAGCAGGGAAGAUAGUGACGGUACCUGACUAAGAAGCUCCGGCUAAAUACGUG